AUUGAACGCUGGCGGCAUGCCUUACACAUGCAAGUCGAACGGUAACGGGCCUUCGGGUGCCGACGAGUGGCGAACGGGUGAGUAAUACAUCGGAACGUGCCCGAUCGUGGGGGAUAACGAGGCGAAAGCUUUGCUAAUACCGCAUACGAUCUACGGAUGAAAGCAGGGGACCGCAAGGCCUUGCGCGGACGGAGCGGCCGAUGGCAGAUCAGGUAGUUGGUGGGAUAAAAGCUUACCAAGCCGACGAUCUGUAGCUGGUCUGAGAGGAUGAUCAGCCACACUGGGACUGAGACACGGCCCAGACUCCUACGGGAGGCAGCAGUGGGGAAUUUUGGACAAUGGGCGCAAGCCUGAUCCAGCCAUGCCGCGUGCAGGAUGAAGGCCUUCGGGUUGUAAACUGCUUUUGUACGGAACGAAAAGCCUUCUUUUAAUACAGGAGGGUCAUGACGGUACCGUAAGAAUAAGCACCGGCUAACUACGUG
This 482-nucleotide ribosomal RNA is filed under the name uncultured bacterium. RNAcentral's name for it is "partial 16S ribosomal RNA". It matches the Rfam family "Bacterial small subunit ribosomal RNA", at positions 30 to 507 of the family's 1533-position model. The record is from RNAcentral.